This 387-nucleotide ribosomal RNA is filed under the name uncultured bacterium. RNAcentral describes it as "bacterial SSU rRNA". It matches the Rfam family "Bacterial small subunit ribosomal RNA", at positions 29 to 417 of the family's 1533-position model. The record is from RNAcentral.
AUUGAACGCUGGCGGAAUGCUUUACACAUGCAAGUCGAGCGGCAGCACGGGGGCAACCCUGGUGGCGAGCGGCGAACGGGUGAGUAACAUAUCGGAACGUACCCCGUCGUGGGGGAUAACACAGCGAAAGCUGUGCUAAUACCGCAUACGACCUGAGGGUGAAAGCGGGGGAUCGCAAGACCUCGCGCGAUGGGAGCGGCCGAUAUCGGAUUAGCUUGUUGGUGAGGUAAAGGCUCACCAAGGCGACGAUCCGUAGCUGGUCUGAGAGGACGACCAGCCACACUGGAACUGAGACACGGUCCAGACUCCUACGGGAGGCAGCAGUGGGGAAUUUUGGACAAUGGGCGGAAGCCUGAUCCAGCCAUGCCGCGUGAGUGAAGAAGGCCU